GACGAACGCUGGCGGCGUGCCUAAUACAUGCAAGUAGAACGCUGAAGCGAGGAGCUUGCUCUUCUUGGAUGAGUUGCGAACGGGUGAGUAACGCGUAGGUAACCUGCCUUGUAGCGGGGGAUAACUAUUGGAAACGAUAGCUAAUACCGCAUAACAAUGGAUGACACAUGUCAUUUAUUUGAAAGGGGCAAUUGCUCCACUACAAGAUGGACCUGCGUUGUAUUAGCUAGUAGGUGAGGUAAUGGCUCACCUAGGCGACGAUACAUAGCCGACCUGAGAGGGUGGUCGGCCACACUGGGACUGGGACACGGCCCAGACUCCUACGGGAGGCAGCACUAGGGAAUCUUCGGCAAUGGGGGCAACCCUGACCGAGCAACGCCGCGGGAGUGAAGAAGGUUUUCGGAUCGUAAAGCUCUGUUGUAAGUCAAGAACGGGUGUGAGAGUGGAAAGUUCACACUGUGACGGUAGCUUACCAGAAAGGGACGGCUAACUACGUG
Molecule: ribosomal RNA, 497 nt
Filed under: uncultured bacterium
Lineage: Bacteria
Description: partial 16S ribosomal RNA
Rfam family: Bacterial small subunit ribosomal RNA
Source: RNAcentral